CUUUGAGGUCACUGAUACUCCACCUGAUGUGGAAGUUGUCAAACCAGAUCAGAACGCCUUCGAAGUCCACUUUCAGGAUGGAUGUGGAGGUUUUUGACCAGGUGAGACUGAACAUGGACUGGGCGCAUGAGAAAAAGGAGAGCCACCUGAGAAGAAUCAAGGGGACCAAGUGCUUUGACAUCUGGGUGAAUUACUUGGCUUGGAAGAAGGAUGAAAGGAAGGCGAGACCCGGGAAAGCUUGGUGCUCUUUCGCUCCUAGCUGGGGUCAACAUCUGUUAAGGGACCAUCCCUUACCAACCCCACUGACAUCAAAAAUUAGACAGG
Long non-coding RNA from Salvelinus namaycush (lake trout), 324 nucleotides. RefSeq lists it as uncharacterized. The transcript has 3 exons. NCBI's taxonomy places the organism in Eukaryota, Metazoa, Chordata, Actinopteri, Salmoniformes, Salmonidae. The record is from RefSeq and is a predicted model, not a curated record.